CCUACGGGAGGCUGCAGUGGGGAAUAUUGGGCAAUGGAGGCAACUCUGACCCAGCAACGCCGCGUGAAUGAUGAAGGUCUUCGGAUUGUAAAGUUCUGUGAUGGGGGAUGAACACAAUGACGGUACCCCAAUAGCAAGCCACGGCUAACUACGUGCCAGCAGCCGCGGGAAUACGUAGGUGGCAAGCGUUAUCCGGAAUGACUGGGCGUAAAGGGUGCGUAGGUGGUUUAGUAAGUUGGCGGGGUAAUUCCGGGGCUCAACCUCGGCGCUACCGCCAAAACUAUUAGACUAGAGUGGAGGAGGGGUAAGUGGAAUUCCUAGUGUAGCGGUGGAAUUCGUAGAUAUUAGGAGGAACAUCAGGGGCGAAGGCGACUUACUGGACUGUAACUGACACUGAGGCACGAAAGCGUGGGGAGCAAACAGGAUUAGAUACCCUGGUAGUC
RNAcentral lists this ribosomal RNA (443 nucleotides) under uncultured bacterium. RNAcentral describes it as "partial 16S ribosomal RNA". It matches the Rfam family "Bacterial small subunit ribosomal RNA", at positions 338 to 795 of the family's 1533-position model. The record is from RNAcentral.